RNAcentral lists this ribosomal RNA (497 nucleotides) under uncultured bacterium. RNAcentral's name for it is "partial 16S ribosomal RNA". It matches the Rfam family "Bacterial small subunit ribosomal RNA", at positions 28 to 507 of the family's 1533-position model. The record is from RNAcentral.
GAUGAACGCUGGCGGCGUGCCUAAUACAUGCAAGUCGAGCGAACAGACGAGGAGCUUGCUCCUCUGACGUUAGCGGCGGACGGGUGAGUAACACGUGGAUAACCUACCUAUAAGACUGGGAUAACUUCGGGAAACCGGAGCUAAUACCGGAUAAUAUAUUGAACCGCAUGGUUCAAUAGUGAAAGACGGUUUUGCUGUCACUUAUAGAUGGAUCCGCGCCGCAUUAGCUAGUUGGUAAGGUAACGGCUUACCAAGGCAACGAUGCGUAGCCGACCUGAGAGGGUGGUCCGCCCAACCUGAACCUGAGCCCCGUCCAGGCUCCUACGGGAAGCAGCAGUAGGGGAUCUUCCGCAAUGGGCCGAAGCCUGACGGAGCAACGCCGCGUGAGUGAUGAAGGUCUUCGGAUCGUAAAACUCUGUUAUUAGGGAAGAACAAAUGUGUAAGUAACUAUGCACGUCUUGACGGUACCUAAUCAGAAAGCCACGGCUAACUACGUG